GAUGAACGCUGGCUACAGGCUUAACACAUGCAAGUCGAGGGGAAACGCCGGGGAAGCUUGCUUCCCCGGGCGUCGACCGGCGCACGGGUGAGUAACGCGUAUCCAACCUGCCUCUGACUGAGGGAUAACCCGUCGAAAGUCGGCCUAAUACCUCAUGGUAUCGUCUGCGGGCAUCCAACGACGAUUAAAGAUUUCAUCGGUCAGGGAUGGGGAUGCGUCUGAUUAGCUUGUUGGCGGGGUAACGGCCCACCAAGGCUACGAUCAGUAGGGGUUCUGAGAGGAAGGUCCCCCACAUUGGAACUGAGACACGGUCCAAACUCCUACGGGAGGCAGCAGUGAGGAAUAUUGGUCAAUGGGCGAGAGCCUGAACCAGCCAAGUAGCGUGCAGGAAGACGGCCCUAUGGGUUGUAAACUGCUUUUAGGCGGGGAUAAAGUGAGGGACGGGUCCCUCAUUGCAGGUACCGCAUGAAUAAGGACCGGCUAAUUCCGUG
This 491-nucleotide ribosomal RNA is filed under the name uncultured bacterium. RNAcentral describes it as "partial 16S ribosomal RNA". It matches the Rfam family "Bacterial small subunit ribosomal RNA", at positions 28 to 507 of the family's 1533-position model. The record is from RNAcentral.